This 440-nucleotide ribosomal RNA is filed under the name uncultured bacterium. Its description in RNAcentral is "partial 16S ribosomal RNA". It matches the Rfam family "Bacterial small subunit ribosomal RNA", at positions 338 to 795 of the family's 1533-position model. The record is from RNAcentral.
CCUACGGGUGGCAGCAGUGGGGAAUAUUGCACAAUGGGGGGAACCCUGAUGCAGCGACGCCGCGUGAGUGAAGAAGUAUUUCGGUAUGUAAAGCUCUAUCAGCAGGGAAGAUAAUGACGGUACCUGACUAAGAAGCCCCGGCUAACUACGUGCCAGCAGCCGCGGUAAUACGUAGGGGGCAAGCGUUAUCCGGAUUUACUGGGUGUAACGGGUGCGUAGGUGGCAGGGCAAGUCAGAUGUGAAAGCCCGGGGCCCAACCCCGGUACUGCAUUUGAAACUGUCCGGCUGGAGUGCAGGAGAGGUAAGCGGAAUUCCUAGUGUAGCGGUGAAAUGCGUAGAUAUUAGGAGGAACACCAGUGGCGAAGGCGGCUUACUGGACUGUAACUGACACUGAGGCACGAAAGCGUGGGGAGCAAACAGGAUUAGAUACCCCGGUAGUC